Molecule: small nuclear RNA, 107 nt
Organism: Suncus etruscus (white-toothed pygmy shrew)
Lineage: Eukaryota; Metazoa; Chordata; Mammalia; Eulipotyphla; Soricidae
Source: RefSeq, a predicted model, not a curated record
GUGUUUGCUUUGGCAGCCCAUAUACUAAAAUUGGAAUGAUAUAGAGAAGAUUAGCAUGGGCCCUGUGCAAGGAUGACAUACAAAUUUAUGAAGCAUUACAUAUUUAA